ACCUGAAACCGUGUGCUUACAAGUAGUCAGAGCCCGUUAAUGGGUGAUGGCGUGCCUUUUGUAGAAUGAACCGGCGAGUUACGAUUUGAUGCAAGGUUAAGCAGUAAAUGUGGAGCCGUAGCGAAAGCGAGUCUGAAUAGGGCGUUUAGUAUUUGGUCGUAGACCCGAAACCAGGUGAUCUACCCUUGGUCAGGUUGAAGUUCAGGUAACACUGAAUGGAGGACCGAACCGACUUACGUUGAAAAGUGAGCGGAUGAACUGAGGGUAGCGGAGAAAUUCCAAUCGAACCUGGAGAUAGCUGGUUCUCUCCGAAAUAGCUUUAGGGCUAGCCUCAAGUGAUGAUUAUUGGAGGUAGAGCACUGUUUGGACGAGGGGCCCCUCUCGGGUUACCGAAUUCAGACAAACUCCGAAUGCCAAUUAAUUUAACUUGGGAGUCAGAACAUGGGUGAUAAGGUCCGUGUUCGAAAGGGAAACAGCCCAGACCACCAGCUAAGGUCCCAAAAUAUAUGUUAAGUGGAAAAGGAUGUGGCGUUGCCCAGACAACUAGGAUGUUGGCUUAGAAGCAGCCAUCAUUUAAAGAGUGCGUAAUAGCUCACUAGUCGAGUGACACUGCGCCGAAAAUGUACCGGGGCUAAACAUAUUACCGAAGCUGUGGAUUGUCCUUUGGACAAUGGUAGGAGAGCGUUCUAAGGGCGUUGAAGCAUGAUCGUAAGGACAUGUGGAGCGCUUAGAAGUGAGAAUGCCGGUGUGAGUAGCGAAAGACGGGUGAGAAUCCCGUCCACCGAUUGACUAAGGUUUCCAGAGGAAGGCUCGUCCGCUCUGGGUUAGUCGGGUCCUAAGCUGAGGCCGACAGGCGUAGGCGAUGGAUAACAGGUUGAUAUUCCUGUACCACCUAUAAUCGUUUUAAUCGAUGGGGGGACGCAGUAGGAUAGGCGAAGCGUGCGAUUGGAUUGCACGUCUAAGCAGUAAGGCUGAGUAUUAGGCAAAUCCGGUACUCGUUAAGGCUGAGC
This 1010-nucleotide ribosomal RNA is filed under the name Staphylococcus aureus. RNAcentral describes it as "partial 23S ribosomal RNA". It matches the Rfam family "Bacterial large subunit ribosomal RNA", at positions 548 to 1561 of the family's 2925-position model. Lineage: Bacteria; Bacillati; Bacillota; Bacilli; Caryophanales; Staphylococcaceae. The record is from RNAcentral.